CAUUCAAACAUUCCCACUCAUUCUGUUUCUCUCUCUCUCUCUUUCUCUCUCUCUCUCUCUCUCUCUCUCUCUUUUUUUAAUGACAGAGCAAUAAUUCCCGGUGUCAGCAUAUCAGAAUUCCAGCGUCUGUGAUCAGAAUGAAAAUGAGCUGCUGUAAUCUGGCCAUUCGGAUCGACAUAUUACAAUACGCAGCCAUAGAUAACCUAGCGCCGCUCUCAAUUACAGUCUCCUUGGGAGAGGCUGAACUGCUCAGCGCCUGCCAAAAGAUGGUGACUCCAAGCUGUGGAUUUGGUCUGUGUCCCUCUGAGUGGGUUUUCAGCGUGUGUCUGAUUUUCUCCUUCAUGUUACCCAUCAAGGGCAGGAGGUUAUACAAUACCCUGUGAAAACAAGCAGCCACCUGCUCCCCACCCUGCAGGGCCAAGUGG
RNAcentral lists this long non-coding RNA (425 nucleotides) under Ictidomys tridecemlineatus (thirteen-lined ground squirrel). RNAcentral's name for it is "lncRNA (ENSSTOG00000034227.1)". Lineage: Eukaryota; Metazoa; Chordata; Mammalia; Rodentia; Sciuridae. The record is from RNAcentral.